GACGAACGCUGGCGGCGUGCUUAACACAUGCAAGUCGAACGGUGAAGCGCCUUCCUUUUUGGUGGGUGUGGAUGAGUGGCGAACGGGUGAGUAACACGUGAGUAACCUGCCCCCUUCUUCUGGAUAACCGCAUGAAAGUGUGGCUAAUACGGGAUAUUCUGGGUCUGUCGCAUGAUGGGUCUGGGAAAGAUAUUGUUUCGGUGGGGGAUGGGCUCGCGGCCUAUCAGCUUGUUGGUGGGGUGAUGGCCUACCAAGGCGGUGACGGGUAGCCGGCCUGAGAGGGUGGACGGUCACACUGGGACUGAGACACGGCCCAGACUCCUGCGGGAGGCAGCAGUGGGGAAUAUUGCACAAUGGGCGCAAGCCUGAUGCAGCGACGCCGCGGGAGGGAUGGAGGCCUUCGGGUUGUGAACCUCUUUCGCCAGUGAAGCAGGCCUGCCUCGUUUGUGGGUGGGUUGACGGUAGCUGGAUAAGAAGCGCCGGCUAACUACGUG
This 494-nucleotide ribosomal RNA is filed under the name uncultured bacterium. RNAcentral's name for it is "partial 16S ribosomal RNA". It matches the Rfam family "Bacterial small subunit ribosomal RNA", at positions 28 to 507 of the family's 1533-position model. The record is from RNAcentral.